UCGCCGAUUCCAAAGUUGGCGCCCCUCGCGCGCUUCAAAACUCUCCUCGCUUGACGCGAUGCUCUCUCCCUGCGAUUGAUUUGGCGCUGCCGACGUCGAUGCUUCCCCUCUCCGUGAUCGUUUUCGCCUCACGCGCUGAACUCUUGUAGCUGUGUUCGUCUAAUUCUUCGGCGAGUUUUGUCAUUUUUCUCAGCUGACCUGCUCUCGCUCUGCGUUUCUGGCGGGAGGGUCGCUUGCUGCGAUCGGGCUGUUUCAAUGUAGUGUGUUGUGGUUGUUUGCAGCGCGGAGAAGAGGAGGAGUCGCUGCUGGAUUUCGGUUUUUGGAUAGUUUCUCUUCGACCCGUCGUUUUGCGAGAAAAGUUGGAUGGUGUUUUGUUUGUUGGUUAGCGCCGGUUCUGGCGUUGCCUUGUGAAUGGCGUUUGUGAGUUAGUGGAUUGGGAAGCUCUCUCUAAGGAGAUAGUGGGAGUGUAAACUUCACUGGAGCGCGUAAGAGGUGAGGCUAUAUAUAUAUAUAUAUAUAUAUGUAUAGAACUUUUUUUUCUUCUCGUAUCCGUCGAGAAUUCGUCGCUGGAAUGGCGCUGUGUUUCGACGCUUUGCUCUUGGAAGGCCAGGUUGAAUUUUUCAGCAUGGAGUUCGCGCCUCAUCUGUGGACUCGAAGGAGUAAUUGGUAACAUCAUUGCAGCUCUGAGUUCCGAGAUCAACGGCUGGAGCAUGAAGAGUACCUUGGAAUCCAUAGUGAUGAGUUUCUUUCACUCAAGCGUCCGCUCAUAUACUUAUAGUAUCAGGGUUUCAAGUUUGUGUGUUAUACUCGGUCAGCAUGGAGUAACGAAAAUGGUUGCUUGGAGAAGAAGUCUUGCGUUAUAAGCCCAAUGUGACUGGAGGAGGAUCGCCCGAGAGCUGUCGUAUUUGGGAGGAUGGGAAGACCCAAGAGCGCGAAGAUUCCUGUGAAGGAUAUGCCCAAGGAGGAUGGCCGAAAGAAGGGAAAGAGGGAUGACGAUGGAUUUGCGUUCAUAUGCGAUGUGUGCAGCGACUUUGGGGAGCUGCUUUGCUGUGAGAGGUGUCGUAGUGGUUUUCACCUCUCUUGUCUUGGGCUUGAUAAAUGCCCAGAUGUUGAACCCUGGUUGUGUUCAAGCUGCGCAGAAAACAAGGUGCGUUGCUUCAAGUGCAAGGCCUUUGGUUCUUUGGAGGUGGAUCUUGUAAAAUGUGCUCACAGGAAUUGUGGAAAGUAUUAUCACAAGGAUUGUUCGAAAGGAUGGGUUCGCAUUCCUCCGAAGAAAACCGAUAACGGUGCUAUGGUGUGCCCCCGACAUCAUUGCGACGCUUGCCGUAAAUGUCAGAAGAAUGCAAAGCUGCACCGAUGUUUAUACUGCCCUGUCGCUUAUCAUGAAUCGUGCUCACCAGAAGGCACCAAUUUGCUAGAAGAUAUUCCCGGAUAUUUGCUGUGCUGGAAGCAUGAUGAUGAAUGGAAGCAUGAAUACAAGGACGCACAGCCAAUCAGUGAUCCCAAGAUUUCUCUGGAGAGAUUACCAUUGCCCAAUACUGCAAUCGAUUUCCAACUUCCCCGUGCUAUUUUUGAUGCCGUGCGCUGCAUGCCGAAUAAACCUCCCUCCUAUUGCCACAUCAGGCGCAACAUUUACCUAGUUAAAAAAUCAAAGCGGUGGCAACAAGAUGAGAAGAUGGAAUGUUUGUGCAAGCCCACAGUGGGAUCCAGUGAGACCUGCUCAAAAGACUGCCUUUGUGGGAUGCUCUUUAUGACCUGCUCAAGCAAUUGUGGUUGCGGUGAUUCCUGCACCAACCUUCCAUUUCAGAAGCUCCCUGGAAGUAAAAUGAAAGCCGUAAAGACAGAGAGAUGUGGAUGGGGGUUAGUAGCAGAUGAAGACAUCAAGGCAGGCUCGUUCCUCGUCGAGUAUGUGGGGGAAGUCAUUGACGAUCAAACAUGUGAGGAAAGGCUAUGGGCAAUGAAGAAACAGGGCGAGAUGAAUUUUUACAUGUGCGAAAUUAGCCGUGAAAUGGUUAUAGAUGCGACUUUCAAGGGCAACUUGUCUCGAUUCAUUAAUCAUAGCUGCCAGCCCAACAGUGAGCUGCAGAAAUGGGAUAUUGAUGGUGAGACUCGGAUUGGGGUGUUUGCAAUCACUGAUAUUAAACGUGGCGACUUUGUGACUUAUGACUAUCAGUUUAUUCAGUUCGGCUCAAAAAAUCAACACUGUCACUGUGGAGCCCCAGAAUGCCGAGGUCAGCUUGGAAAACCAAUGAAACAGCAAAAGGCCAGUGAAGACAUUGCUCAUAUUAAUUGUGCCCUCCCCCAAACCCUGAAAAAGUCAAACUUGUGUGGGAACUUUAGUCUGAAACAUGCGCCCCUUCAGCACAGGCAUUAUCAAAGGAGAUCCGCAAGCAAUGAUACCAGCGGAGAUGCAGGAACUGGGGGUAUGCUUUGGAACAUUUUUGAAACAUUAUUGCAAUGUGGUACGUAAUUGGGUGGCCUUUCUAGGGACACCAACCCCUCGAUAUGACCAGUUGGGAGGGGUGAAGUUAGUGGGUCUCCGCAUUAAAAUUUGGUGGCCGCUUGAUCAGAAGUAAGAACCUCCUCAAUUUGCAGUUUUACAAUGCAUUUGCGACUUGUAACGAAUUUUUGAAGUCAGUCUUAUAUCUUUAUGAUUGAUACAUGUAACCAAUACGUUUUCUCUUUCUUUGUCCUCUUUCGGUACAUUGGAGGUUCCAAGAAUAUUUUGCUUAUGGUUGGGAAACCCUACAGUGUUUAAACCUACCCUUCUCAUUCGACGCCACGGCUCUCCAUCCAAUUUCCAUUGAAUUAUCAUUCGAUCUUGUGAUGAUGUGGAAGUGAUGACUGAAACGUGAUCGCCACCUACGUAAAAAUACGAGAUUUUGCAUCCUCUCUUGGUUUUACCAUGUUCUUGUUUUAAACAAACGUGAUAUGUGGUCGAAGUAUCAAGCGAAUGUUUCCUAUUUGAUAUAGUGUUCUUGAGAGCAGGUUUUACCAUGGGGAGGUUUUGAGUUUUGAUGGAAGUUCUGGGAAGCAUCAGGUCUGCUAUGAUGAUGGUGAGAAAGAGGCCCUGUGCCUAGUCAAAGAGCGGUGGGAAGUAGAGAGUGUUGACAUGUGCAAAAAGGUGAGC
Physcomitrium patens is the source of this 3130-nucleotide non-coding RNA. Lineage: Eukaryota; Viridiplantae; Streptophyta; Bryopsida; Funariales; Funariaceae. The record is from RefSeq and is a predicted model, not a curated record.